Molecule: transfer RNA, 61 nt
Filed under: Ornithodoros rostratus
Lineage: Eukaryota; Metazoa; Arthropoda; Arachnida; Ixodida; Argasidae
Description: tRNA-Cys
Source: RNAcentral
GGUCUUAUAGUUAAAUUAAUAUUAAAUUGCAAGUUUAAAGAUGAUUGAAAAUCUAAGACUU